AGAAUCAACGCUGGCGGCGUGCCUAACACAUGCAAGUCGAACGCGAAAGCCCCGCAAGGGGUAAGUAGAGUGGCAAACGGGUGAGUAACACGUGGGUGACCUGCCUUCGAGUGGGGGAUAACGUCCCGAAAGGGACGCUAAUACCGCAUGACAUCCUGUUCUUAGACGGACGGAGAUCAAAGCUGGGGAUCGCAAGACCUGGCGCUUGAAGAGGGGCCCGCGCCUGAUUAGCUAGUUGGUGAGGUAACGGCUCACCAAGGCUACGAUCAGUA
This 272-nucleotide ribosomal RNA is filed under the name uncultured soil bacterium. Its description in RNAcentral is "partial 16S ribosomal RNA". It matches the Rfam family "Bacterial small subunit ribosomal RNA", at positions 26 to 285 of the family's 1533-position model. The record is from RNAcentral.